This 252-nucleotide ribosomal RNA is filed under the name uncultured bacterium. RNAcentral's name for it is "partial 16S ribosomal RNA". It matches the Rfam family "Bacterial small subunit ribosomal RNA", at positions 524 to 776 of the family's 1533-position model. The record is from RNAcentral.
UACGAAGGACCCAAGCGUUAUCCGGAUUAUUGGGUUUAAAGGGUGCGUAGGCGGGUUAUUAAGUCAGUGGUGAAAGCCUUCAGCUUAACUGGAGAAUUGCCAUUGAUACUGAUGAUCUUGAGUAUGAUUGAGGUGGGCGGAAUGUGUCAUGUAGCGGUGAAAUGCUUAGAUAUGACACAGAACACCGAUUGCGAAGGCAGCUCACUAAGCCAUAACUGACGCUGAUGCACGAAAGCGUGGGGAGCAAACAGG